This 268-nucleotide unclassified non-coding RNA is filed under the name air metagenome. RNAcentral's name for it is "partial contains small subunit ribosomal RNA, internal transcribed spacer 1, and 5.8S ribosomal RNA". The stretch from base 1 to 46 matches the Rfam family "Eukaryotic small subunit ribosomal RNA", at positions 1786 to 1831 of the family's 1831-position model. The record is from RNAcentral.
AAGUCGUAACAAGGUUUCCGUAGGUGAACCUGCGGAAGGAUCAUUAAUGAAUGAAAUUGGGUGAGGUUGUCGCUGGCCUUUCACCGGGCAUGUGCACACCUCAUUCAACCUCUCUACACCUCUGUGCACUUCUCAUGGGUUGGGCUGCGUCUGAAAUAUUGACAUGGCCCCUCUCAUGUGUUUUAUACAAACUAUACAAGUUUUAGAAUGUCUAUACAAUGUGUAAAAGCAUAUAAUACAACUUUCAACAACGGAUCUCUUGGCUCUC